AUACUUACCUGGCAGUUGGAAUACCACGAUCAAGAAGGUGGUGUCCCCAGGCUGAGGCUCCUCCAUUGCACUUUUUAUUUGAGUAGACUCCUGUGAUUUCCUCAAAUGUGGGAAACUCAGCUGUAUAAUUUAAGAUAUUGGGGAACUACGUUCACUCAGUCCACA
This is a small nuclear RNA of Protopterus annectens (West African lungfish), 165 nucleotides long. RefSeq annotates it as U1 spliceosomal RNA. The transcript has a single exon. Lineage: Eukaryota; Metazoa; Chordata; Ceratodontiformes; Protopteridae. The record is from RefSeq and is a predicted model, not a curated record.